Molecule: ribosomal RNA, 422 nt
Filed under: uncultured bacterium
Lineage: Bacteria
Description: bacterial SSU rRNA
Rfam family: Bacterial small subunit ribosomal RNA
Source: RNAcentral
UGAGGAAUAUUGGGCAAUGCCCGCAAGGGUGACCCAGCAACGCCGCGUGGAGGAUGAAUGUCGUAAGAUUGUAAACUCCUGUUAGAGGGGAAGAAUAGUACCGGUUGGACCGGUAUAUGACUGUACCCUCAGAGAAAGCCCCGGCUAACUACGUGCCAGCAGCCGCGGUAAUACGUAGGGGGCAAGCGUUGUCCGGAUUUACUGGGUGUAAAGGGCGCGCAGGCGGGAUAAAAAGUCAGUGGUGAAAUCCUACAGCUUAACUGUAGAACUGCCUUUGAUACUGUUGGUCUCGAGUCCGGAAGAGGUGAGUGGAAUUCCUAGUGUAGAGGUGAAAUUCGUAGAUAUUAGGAAGAACACCGGUGGCGAAGGCGGCUCACUGGUCCGGUACUGACGCUGAGGUGCGAAAGCGUGGGGAGCAAACA